AUGGUUCCUCUAGAGCCUCUGGAAUUAGAAGGAGACAAGAAGAGGGAAAGAGUCGCAGUCGGUGCUCCUUUCACCUGGAUUGCAUGGAACUUUGGGAAUUGCCCUGAGAAUGCUAAUGAUGAUGAGGUCAAGACAUAUGCUCGUGUCUACAUGUGGUAGGUUAUAUCCAGGACUAUGUUUGCUGAUGGCACAGGCAAGAAUGCUUGA
RNAcentral lists this ribosomal RNA (207 nucleotides) under Triticum aestivum (bread wheat). Its description in RNAcentral is "partial small subunit ribosomal RNA". Lineage: Eukaryota; Viridiplantae; Streptophyta; Magnoliopsida; Poales; Poaceae. The record is from RNAcentral.